CUAGCUGUUCUGCAGACAUGGAUGUGGUGAUCAGACACAAACACCUAUGUCACGGUGAAGAACAGUUCACUAUG
Long non-coding RNA from Clupea harengus (Atlantic herring), 74 nucleotides. RefSeq lists it as uncharacterized. The transcript is spliced from 2 exons. Lineage: Eukaryota; Metazoa; Chordata; Actinopteri; Clupeiformes; Clupeidae. The record is from RefSeq and is a predicted model, not a curated record.